GCGCGUAGGUGGUAGUGCAAGUCUGGGGUGGAAUCUUAGGGCUUAACCCUAAAACUGCCGUUGGAAACUGCAUUACUUGAGUCAGUGAGGGGAGGGUAGAAUUCCUGGUGUAGCGGUGAAAUGCGUAGAUAUCAGGAGGAAGGCCUGUGGCGAAGGCGGCCCUCUGGCGCUGAACUGACACUGAGGCGCGAAAGCGUGGGUAGCAAACAGGAUUAGAUACCCUGGUAGUCCACGCCCUAAACGGUGGGUACUAGGUGUAGGGCUCGUAAGGGUUCUGUGCCGAAGGGAAACCAUUAAGUACCCCGCCUGGGGAGUACGGCCGCAAGGUUGAA
This 332-nucleotide ribosomal RNA is filed under the name uncultured bacterium. Its description in RNAcentral is "bacterial SSU rRNA". It matches the Rfam family "Bacterial small subunit ribosomal RNA", at positions 567 to 898 of the family's 1533-position model. The record is from RNAcentral.